GAACGCUGGCGGUAUGCUUAACACAUGCAAGUCGAACGAACGAGAUCCUAGCUUGCUAGGAUCAAGUUAGUGGCAAACGGGUGAGUAACACGUGGGAAUCUACCCAGUAGUACGGAAUAACAGUUGGAAACGACUGCUAAUACCGUAUAGUAUCGAGAGAUUAAAGAUUUAUCGCUACUGGAUGAGCCCGCGUCAGAUUAGGUAGUUGGUGGGGUAAAGGCCUACCAAGCCGAAGAUCUGUAGCUGGUCUGAGAGGAUGAUCAGCCACACUGGAACUGAGACACGGUC
This 288-nucleotide ribosomal RNA is filed under the name uncultured Rickettsiales bacterium. RNAcentral's name for it is "partial 16S ribosomal RNA". It matches the Rfam family "Bacterial small subunit ribosomal RNA", at positions 31 to 331 of the family's 1533-position model. Lineage: Bacteria; Pseudomonadati; Pseudomonadota; Alphaproteobacteria; Rickettsiales. The record is from RNAcentral.